Molecule: long non-coding RNA, 981 nt
Organism: Hippocampus zosterae (dwarf seahorse)
Lineage: Eukaryota; Metazoa; Chordata; Actinopteri; Syngnathiformes; Syngnathidae
Exons: 2
Source: RefSeq, a predicted model, not a curated record
GGGGGGCGUCCAUUACUUGCCUAUGCUAAUUUUCCCGAUUCGAUUGUGGUCCCUGACCCCCGAAGGUUCACGACACAACAUUGCAACAUUACUAUAAAUGUGAGUGCCGCGCUUCAAUGAGGCUGAAGUUAUAUUUAUGGAGAUUAAAAAGUCUGUUCACGUCAAUCAAUGACUGCCUGCGUGCUUUGCUUCCAGUGGGCCCAAAACGAAAGGCCCGCUAACGGUGGCUAAAACUAUCAACACAGAGAGAACAUCACCAUUGCACCGUUCCUCCGGCUUCUCCUCCGCUGUGGCUGUGCUCAGCUGAGGCUCCAUGGGCGUGGCGGGAGUCUGUGUGUCGGGAGCGUUUGCACUAAGAGCUGCCUUUAGGCUGGCGGCAAGGCCAAGGCCACCGCCUGCUGCUACCGGAGCGGCAGCAGUGCCUGAGGGUGCUCCGGCAUCGGUUCCGGAAACUCCGGAAUCCCCCUGCUCGGAUGCCCGGAGCCUCUUCAUGAGAGUGGUAACUCUGACAGCUUUCUGUGAGUAACCAAACACAUGGAGAUGGAUGUCGAAAUCAGUGUAUCUCUGUCUUCAUUGAACCAAAGUACAUAUUUUACAUUGGAAAUUUUUCAUGGCACACCACCAAACAAAAAUGUCCCCAAAAAUAUAUUCAACAAAUACUGUCAGAAACACCUAUAUUUACAACCUCAAUCUAAUAUUUGUUCCAUCAAAUUGUACGAAUGCAUUCCCGAAGCUCUUUUCUCUUUAUUUUGUCAUGUUUCUCUCGGCUGCAGUGCUUGGAACAUGUGGAUGUUGCAUUGUUCAAUUACAUUUCAGCCUCUAUGUGGUGCUGGAAUUUUAUCUGCUGGAAUCAUUCGUGCUAGCCUUUUAUUUUCAAGUGCAUUACUUUCUUCAGCCCAAGGAUGUAAAUUUCAUUUUCCAUUCUUUCCUUUGCUUUUCUUUGACUCUUAACUUAAAAAUAAAUUUGACUGGAACUGCUUC